CUACGGGAGGCAGCAGUGGGGAAUAUUGCACAAUGGGGGAAACCCUGAUGCAGCAACGCCGCGUGGAGGAUGACACAUUUCGGUGCGUAAACUCCUUUUAUAUGAGAAGAUAAUGACGGUAUCAUAUGAAUAAGCUCCGGCUAACUCCGUGCCAGCAGCCGCGGUAAUACGGGGGGAGCAAGCGUUACUCGGAAUCACUGGGCGUAAAGAGCAUGUAGGCGGGUAGAAAAGUUGGAAGUGAAAUCCACUGGCUUAACCAGUGAACUGCUUCCAAAACUCUUUACCUAGAAUAUGGGAGAGGUAGAUGGAAUUUCUGGUGUAGGGGUAAAAUCCGUAGAGAUCAGAAGGAAUACCGAUUGCGAAGGCGAUCUACUGGAACAUUAUUGACGCUGAGAUGCGAAAGCGUGGGGAGCAAACAGGAUUAGAUACCCCAGUAGUC
Molecule: ribosomal RNA, 439 nt
Filed under: uncultured bacterium
Lineage: Bacteria
Description: partial 16S ribosomal RNA
Rfam family: Bacterial small subunit ribosomal RNA
Source: RNAcentral